GGAGGAGUGCCAGAGUGGACGAAUGGGACCGCCUUGAAAGCGGUUAGGUGCCCAUAAGGUGCCUCGAGGGUUCGAAUCCUUCCUCCUCCG
Molecule: transfer RNA, 90 nt
Filed under: Candidatus Omnitrophota bacterium
Lineage: Bacteria; Pseudomonadati; Candidatus Omnitrophota
Description: tRNA-Ser
Rfam family: tRNA
About the family: Transfer RNA (tRNA) molecules are approximately 80 nucleotides in length.
Source: RNAcentral